This 693-nucleotide ribosomal RNA is filed under the name uncultured bacterium. RNAcentral's name for it is "bacterial SSU rRNA". It matches the Rfam family "Bacterial small subunit ribosomal RNA", at positions 147 to 859 of the family's 1533-position model. The record is from RNAcentral.
CUCCGCUAACGCGGAGCUAAUACCGCAUAUGUUCGCUCAUUCGGUUGGGCGAGUAAAGCAGCGAUGCGCUUAGGGAUGGGCCUGCGGCGGAUUAGGUAGUUGGUGGGGUAACGGCCUACCAAGCCGAUGAUCCGUAGGGGGCGUGAGAGCGUGGCCCCCCACACUGGCACUGAGACACGGGCCAGACUCCUACGGGAGGCAGCAGUGAGGAAUAUUGCACAAUGGGCGCAAGCCUGAUGCAGCAACGCCGCGUGAGGGACGAAGGCCUUCGGGUUGUAAACCUCUUUUCUGAGGGACGAGGAAGGACGGUACCUCAGGAAUAAGUCUCGGCUAACUACGUGCCAGCAGCCGCGGUAAAACGUAGGAGGCGAGCGUUAUCCGGAUUUACUGGGCGUAAAGCGCGCGCAGGUGGCUUCGUGAGUCGGACAUGAAAGCUCCUGGCUUAACUGGGAGAGGCUGUUCGAUACUGCGGGGCUUGAGGUUGGGAGAGGGACGCGGAAUUCCCGGUGUAGUGGUGGAAUGCGUAGAUAUCGGGAGGAACACCAGUGGCGCAAGCGGCGUCCUGGCCCACACCUGACGCUGAGGUGCGAAAGCGUGGGUAGCAAACAGGAUUAGAUACCCUGGUAGUCCACGCUGUAAACGAUGUCAACUGGGUGUCGGUAGUUUUACACUAUCGGUGCCGAAGCUAACGCG